Molecule: RNA transcript, 1382 nt
Organism: Rhinopithecus roxellana (golden snub-nosed monkey)
Lineage: Eukaryota; Metazoa; Chordata; Mammalia; Primates; Cercopithecidae
Gene name: TERF1-interacting nuclear factor 2 pseudogene
Exons: 1
Source: RefSeq, a predicted model, not a curated record
AUGGCCACGCCCCCGGGGGCCGGUCCCCCACCUCUACGCUUCGUCGCCGCAGCUAGCUGGCAGGUUGUGCGCGGACGCGUGUGGAACAUUUUCCCCGAGUCCUGGACUUUCUGCGAUCUCUGCGCGCUAUUGCCCCUGGCUUGGUUCGCUACCGGCACCACGAACGCCUUUGUAUGGGCCUAAAGGCCAAGGUGGUGGUGGAGCUGAUCCUGCAGGGCCGGCCUUGGGCCCAAGUCCUGAAAACCCUGAAUCACCACUUUCCAGAAUCUGGACCUAUAGUGCGGGAUCCCAAGGCUACAAAGCAGGAUCUGAGGAAGAUUUUGGAGGCACAGGAAACUUUUUACCAACAGGUGAAGCAGCUGUCAGAGGCUCCUGUGGAUUUGGCCUCGAAGCUGCAGGAACUUGAACAAGAAUAUGGGGAACUCUUUCUGGCUGCCAUGGAAAAGCUGCUUUUUGAGUACUUGUGUCAGCUGGAGAAAGUACUGCCUACACCGCAGGCACAGCAGCUUCAGGAUGUGCUGAGUUGGAUGCAGCCUGGAGUCUCUAUCACCUCUUCUCUUGCCUGGAGGCAAUAUGGUGUGGACAUGGGGUGGCCACUUCCAGAGUGCUCUGUUACUGACUCAGUGAAGCUGGCUGAGCCCAUGGAACAGAAUCCUCCUCAGCAACAAAGACUAGCACUCCACAAUCCUCUGCCAAAAGCCAAGCCUGGCCCAUGUCUUCCUCAGGGAACAUCUUCAAGGACGCACCUGGAACCUCUAGCUGGCCGCCACUUCAAUCUGGCCCCUUUAGGCCGACGAAGAGUCCAGUCCCAAUGGGCGUCCACUAGGGGAGGCCAUAAGGAGCGCCCCACAGUCAUGCUGUUUCCCUUUAGGAAUCUGGGCUCACCAACCCAGGUCAUAUCUAAGCCUGAGAGCAAGGAAGAACAUGCGAUAUACACAGCAGACCUAGCUGUGGGCACAAGAGCAGCCUCCACUGGGAAGUCUAACAGUUCAUGCCAGACCCUGGGGGGAAGGGCUCUGAAGGAGAACCCAGUUGACUUGCCUGCCACAGAGCAAAAGGAGAAUUGCUUGGAUUGCUACAUGGACCCCCUGAGACUAUCAUUAUUACCUCCUAGGGUCAGGAAGCCAGUGUGUCCUCCAUCUCUGUGCAGCUCCGUCAUUACCAUAGGGGACUUGGUUUUAGACUCUGAUGAGGAAGAAAAUGGCCAGGGGGAAGGAAAGAAUCAUCCUUCCGUGCCCUCGAGCUUCUUACCAAAAGCCUUGGCCACAUCCCCAGGACAGCUGCAACCUCCAUCCUGCAAAGUAAGGAGCACUAUGAACACAACAUGGAUUUCCCAAGCCCUCAGCGAUGUCCCAACAGCCCAAACUCAAAGCCAACAAGAA